GAAAGGCGCAAAAUGACGUAACAAUCGGCUGAAAUCAUCCCAUUCCGUCGCCUGCCGUUAGGCUACUUUCACCCCCCAAGGCUAAAUACUACUUGGUGACCGAUAGCGUAUAGUACCGUGAGGGAAAGGUGAAAAGAACCCCGGGAGGGGAGUGAAAGAGUACCUGAAACCCUAUGUUUACAAGCAGUGGGAGCGAGAGCGACCAUGUACUUUUUGUAGAACGGGCCGGCGAGUUACUGUGUGCAGCGAGGUUAAGUUGUUAAGCAACGGAGCCGAAGGGAUACCGAGUCUGAAAAGGGCGUAAAGUUGCAUGCAGUACACCCGAAACCGGGUGACCUAUCCAUGGACAGGAUGAAGCGACGGUAAGACGUCGUGGAGGUCCGAACCACACGUACGUGAAAAGUGCGGGGAUGAGCUGUGGAUAGCGGAGAAAUUCCAAUCGAACUCGGAGAUAGCUGGUUCUCCCCGAAAUAGCUUUAGGGCUAGCCUCGAUUUAGAUUACCGGGGGUAGAGCACUGAAUGGGCUAGGGGGCCACAAAGCUUACCGAACCCUAUCAAACUUCGAAUACCGGAUAAUUGAUGAUCGGGAGUCAGACAGUGUGAGAUAAGUUUCAUUGUCGAAAGGGAAACAGCCCAGAUCUACGACUAAGGUCCCAAAGUUCAAGUUAAGUGGAAAAGGAUGUGCAAUUGCGUAGACAACCAGGAUGUUGGCUUAGAAGCAGCCAUUCAUUCAAAGAGUGCGUAAUAGCUCACUGGUCGAGUGAUUGUGCGCCGAAAAUGUAACGGGGCUAAACUUGACACCGAAGUCUAGGCAGAAGGAAACUUCUGGGUAGGGGAGCAACGUGUACGGGCAGAAGCAGAAGCGGAAGCGACUGUGGACUGUACAGGAGAGAGAAUGCCGGCAUGAGUAGCGAGAGCAAAGUGAGAAUCUUUGCCGUCGAAAGCCUAAGGUUUCCUGAGGAAGGCUCGUCCUCUCAGGGUAAGUCGGGACCUAAGCCGAGGACAAUAGUCGUAGGCGAUGGACAAUCGGUUAAUAUUCCGAUACCGCCGAGCAACCGGAUGCAGUGACACAGAAGGAUAGGCAGAGCGUGGCGAUGGUAGACCACGUCCAAGCAGUGAGGCUGUUGUGUAGUGAAGUACGCACAACGGAAGGCUGGGCUGUGAUGGGGAACGAUUACGAUCGGUAAGCUGCUGAAUUCACGCUGGCGAGAAAAGCUGCUACGAAGCGAAGGCGCCCGUACCGCAAACCGACACAGGUAGGCGAGGAGAGAAUCCUAAGACGAGCGGGAGAACCCUUGUUAAGGAACUCGGCAAAAUGACUCCGUAACUUAGGGAGAAGGAGUGCCCAGGAAUGGGCCGCAGAGAAUAGACCCAAGCGACUGUUUACCAAAAACACAGGUCUGUGCGAAGUAGAGAUACGACGUAUACGGGCUGACACCUGCCCAGUGCCGGAAGGUUAAGGGGAAAUGUUAGGGCAACCGAAGCAUGGAACUUAAGCCCCGGUGAACGGCGGCCGUAACUAUAACGGUCCUAAGGUAGCGAAAUUCCUUGUCGGGUAAGUUCCG
RNAcentral lists this ribosomal RNA (1565 nucleotides) under human gut metagenome. Its description in RNAcentral is "bacterial LSU rRNA". It matches the Rfam family "Bacterial large subunit ribosomal RNA", at positions 345 to 1985 of the family's 2925-position model. The record is from RNAcentral.